This 464-nucleotide ribosomal RNA is filed under the name uncultured bacterium. RNAcentral's name for it is "partial 16S ribosomal RNA". It matches the Rfam family "Bacterial small subunit ribosomal RNA", at positions 28 to 507 of the family's 1533-position model. The record is from RNAcentral.
GACGAACGCUGGCGGCGUGCUUAACACAUGCAAGUCGAACGGAAAGGCCCCUUUGGGGGUACUCGAGUGGCGAACGGGUGAGUAACACGUGAGUAACCUGCCCUUGACUUCGGGAUAACUUCAGGAAACUGGGGCUAAUACCGGAUAGGAAUCCUUGCUGCAUGGUGGGGGUUGGAAAGCUUCGGCGGUUUUGGAUGGACUCGCGGCUUAUCAGCUUGUUGGUGGGGUAGUGGCUUACCAAGGCUUUGACGGGUAGCCGGCCUGAGAGGGCGACCGGCCACAUUGGGACUGAGAUACGGCCCAGACUCCUACGGGAGGCAGCAGUGGGGAAUAUUGCACAAUGGGCGGAAGCCUGAUGCAGCAACGCCGCGUGCGGGAUGACGGCCUUCGGGUUGUAAACCGCUUUCAGCAGGGGCGAAGCUUUUGUGACGGUACCUUCAGAAGAAGCACCGGCUAACUACGUG